This is a long non-coding RNA of Hemicordylus capensis (graceful crag lizard), 475 nucleotides long. RefSeq lists it as uncharacterized. Lineage: Eukaryota; Metazoa; Chordata; Lepidosauria; Squamata; Cordylidae. The record is from RefSeq and is a predicted model, not a curated record. The transcript has 4 exons.
GCAACAUGAAGCAGAUUGGACACAGUGUUCAAACCUCGUUCAAGGGAAAUGUUGGUGGAGACUGAGCAGGGAGAACUGAAGCAGGACCUGCUGCCUUGAUUAAAAAACAUGAUGCACAAAGACUCUCCUGGGGCACAUACCUCCCCACCCCUAAAAACAACUAAUGAAGCAUACAUUUGCUACAAGUAGUACUUAUCUCAAGCUGCAGAAGUUUGAACGGUUAAAAAUAUCUGAUUCGGUGCAGAGAAGCAUCACAAAUGUGGCCAAGGCUCAAGUUACUGCAAUGUCACCAGGAUAACUGUGCUGCCUUCAGCUCAGCUUCUUCCUAAAUUACUGAAGCAGUUCCUACCUGACGUCAGACAUUCUCAAAGAGCAAUUACAUAGUCAAGCAGGCCCGAACAUAUUUGCCAGAGAUCCCAAAUGUAGAUUCUCUACGUUCCACAAAUAAACCUCCCGUGGAUAGUUACUGAAUGUA